Molecule: ribosomal RNA, 236 nt
Filed under: uncultured bacterium
Lineage: Bacteria
Description: partial 16S ribosomal RNA
Rfam family: Bacterial small subunit ribosomal RNA
Source: RNAcentral
GAUCCUGGCUCAGGAUGAACGCUGGCUACAGGCUUAACACAUGCAAGUCGAGGGGCAGCAUGACGGAAGCUUGCUUCCGUUGAUGGCGACCGGCGCACGGGUGAGUAACGCGUAUCCAACCUGCCCUUGUCCACCGGAUAACCCGUCGAAAGGCGGACUAACACGGUAUGCAGUCCACAGCAGGCAUCUAACGUGGACGAAAUGUGAAGGAGAAGGAUGGGGAUGCGUCUGAUUAG